This 970-nucleotide ribosomal RNA is filed under the name Lactiplantibacillus plantarum. RNAcentral's name for it is "bacterial SSU rRNA". It matches the Rfam family "Bacterial small subunit ribosomal RNA", at positions 65 to 1004 of the family's 1533-position model. The record is from RNAcentral. Lineage: Bacteria; Bacillati; Bacillota; Bacilli; Lactobacillales; Lactobacillaceae.
AACUCUGGUAUUGAUUGGUGCUUGCAUCAUGAUUUACAUUUGAGUGAGUGGCGAACUGGUGAGUAACACGUGGGAAACCUGCCCAGAAGCGGGGGAUAACACCUGGAAACAGAUGCUAAUACCGCAUAACAACUUGGACCGCAUGGUCCGAGCUUGAAAGAUGGCUUCGGCUAUCACUUUUGGAUGGUCCCGCGGCGUAUUAGCUAGAUGGUGGGGUAACGGCUCACCAUGGCAAUGAUACGUAGCCGACCUGAGAGGGUAAUCGGCCACAUUGGGACUGAGACACGGCCCAAACUCCUACGGGAGGCAGCAGUAGGGAAUCUUCCACAAUGGACGAAAGUCUGAUGGAGCAACGCCGCGUGAGUGAAGAAGGGUUUCGGCUCGUAAAACUCUGUUGUUAAAGAAGAACAUAUCUGAGAGUAACUGUUCAGGUAUUGACGGUAUUUAACCAGAAAGCCACGGCUAACUACGUGCCAGCAGCCGCGGUAAUACGUAGGUGGCAAGCGUUGUCCGGAUUUAUUGGGCGUAAAGCGAGCGCAGGCGGUUUUUUAAGUCUGAUGUGAAAGCCUUCGGCUCAACCGAAGAAGUGCAUCGGAAACUGGGAAACUUGAGUGCAGAAGAGGACAGUGGAACUCCAUGUGUAGCGGUGAAAUGCGUAGAUAUAUGGAAGAACACCAGUGGCGAAGGCGGCUGUCUGGUCUGUAACUGACGCUGAGGCUCGAAAGUAUGGGUAGCAAACAGGAUUAGAUACCCUGGUAGUCCAUACCGUAAACGAUGAAUGCUAAGUGUUGGAGGGUUUCCGCCCUUCAGUGCUGCAGCUAACGCAUUAAGCAUUCCGCCUGGGGAGUACGGCCGCAAGGCUGAAACUCAAGGAAUUGACGGGGGCCCGCACAAGCGGUGGAGCAUGUGGUUUAAUUCGAAGCUACGCGAAGAACCUUACCAGGUCUUGACAUACUAUGCAAAUCUAAGA